Long non-coding RNA from Ornithorhynchus anatinus (platypus), 614 nucleotides. RefSeq lists it as uncharacterized. Lineage: Eukaryota; Metazoa; Chordata; Mammalia; Monotremata; Ornithorhynchidae. The record is from RefSeq and is a predicted model, not a curated record. The transcript is spliced from 3 exons.
CAUCUGCAAGCCGGUCAUAUCUCUCGGGAGACCAGGAAGAGAGGAUCUACAUUUCAAGGAGAUGACAGGGGGUGGGCAUUGUGUGGGGCAUGAGGACUGAGAUCUUGGGAGGCUAGUAGAGCAGGCAGACCUUGUGUCCCGAGGUGGAGUGGCUGGCCCAGCUCUACAACCCUUGUGUCACCACAAAUGUUGCUCUUAUACCACAAGUGAAGCAGCAGCCAGAGAGAGUCAGAGAAAAAUUAUCUGGGCAGCAGAGUGAAGUGUUGCCUGAAGAGAGGAGGAGACAGGAUACAGACAGAUCAGUGAAGAGGCUGAUCCAGUUGUCAAGGUGGGACCCAAGAUCUCCUCGGAUCAGAGAGGAGACAAAUCAGAAGAGAAAAUGGAUGAAAGGGAGAAGAGAGUACAAGACGUCCUUUCUAGCCCCCUUCCCUACCACUUGCUUUGCUUUGAUAAAUUCCAGUAAAUUGUCAAUUAAGGUAAUAAAUAAAUUUUUUUCCAGCUAUCUCAAGCAGGCAAAACAGUUGGAUUUUUACCUCGAAGAAGUCUCUUUAAAUUUGAAAACUUAUCCUUUUAGAAAUUGACCAAUAAGUCAUAAUAAAAGAUUAUUAAAGUGA